Molecule: ribosomal RNA, 1636 nt
Filed under: human gut metagenome
Description: bacterial LSU rRNA
Rfam family: Bacterial large subunit ribosomal RNA
Source: RNAcentral
GACUCGACCAGUGAGCUAUUCCCGCUCGCCGGAAGACCAAGGGUUCCUGUCCAACGUUAAUCGGGGCAGGGUGAGUCGACCCCUAAGGCGAGGCCGAAAGGCGUAGUCGAUGGGAAACAGGUUAAUAUUCCUGUACUUGGUGUUACUGCGAAGGGGGGACGGAGAAGGCUAUGUUGGCCGGGCGACGGUUGUCCCGGUUUAAGCGUGUAGGCUGGUUUUCCAGGCAAAUCCGGAAAAUCAAGGCUGAGGCGUGAUGACGAGGCACUACGGUGCUGAAGCAACAAAUGCCCUGCUUCCAGGAAAAGCCUCUAAGCAUCAGGUAACAUCAAAUCGUACCCCAAACCGACACAGGUGGUCAGGUAGAGAAUACCAAGGCGCUUGAGAGAACUCGGGUGAAGGAACUAGGCAAAAUGGUGCCGUAACUUCGGGAGAAGGCACGCUGAUAUGUAGGUGAAGCGACUUGCUCGUGGAGCUGAAAUCAGUCGAAGAUACCAGCUGGCUGCAACUGUUUAUUAAAAACACAGCACUGUGCAAACACGAAAGUGGACGUAUACGGUGUGACGCCUGCCCGGUGCCGGAAGGUUAAUUGAUGGGGUUAGCGGUAACGCGAAGCUCUUGAUCGAAGCCCCGGUAAACGGCGGCCGUAACUAUAACGGUCCUAAGGUAGCGAAAUUCCUUGUCGGGUAAGUUCCGACCUGCACGAAUGGCGUAAUGAUGGCCAGGCUGUCUCCACCCGAGACUCAGUGAAAUUGAACUCGCUGUGAAGAUGCAGUGUACCCGCGGCAAGACGGAAAGACCCCGUGAACCUUUACUAUAGCUUGACACUGAACAUUGAGCCUUGAUGUGUAGGAUAGGUGGGAGGCUUUGAAGUGUGGACGCCAGUCUGCAUGGAGCCGACCUUGAAAUACCACCCUUUAAUGUUUGAUGUUCUAACGUGGACCCGUGAUCCGGGUUGCGGACAGUGUCUGGUGGGUAGUUUGACUGGGGCGGUCGCCUCCUAAAGAGUAACGGAGGAGCACGAAGGUUGGCUAAUCCUGGUCGGACAUCAGGAGGUUAGUGCAAUGGCAUAAGCCAGCUUGACUGCGAGCGUGACGGCGCGAGCAGGUGCGAAAGCAGGUCAUAGUGAUCCGGUGGUUCUGAAUGGAAGGGCCAUCGCUCAACGGAUAAAAGGUACUCCGGGGAUAACAGGCUGAUACCGCCCAAGAGUUCAUAUCGACGGCGGUGUUUGGCACCUCGAUGUCGGCUCAUCACAUCCUGGGGCUGAAGUAGGUCCCAAGGGUAUGGCUGUUCGCCAUUUAAAGUGGUACGCGAGCUGGGUUUAGAACGUCGUGAGACAGUUCGGUCCCUAUCUGCCGUGGGCGCUGGAGAACUGAGGGGGGCUGCUCCUAGUACGAGAGGACCGGAGUGGACGCAUCACUGGUGUUCGGGUUGUCAUGCCAAUGGCACUGCCCGGUAGCUAAAUGCGGAAGAGAUAAGUGCUGAAAGCAUCUAAGCACGAAACUUGCCCCGAGAUGAGUUCUCCCUGACUCCUUGAGAGUCCUGAAGGAACGUUGAAGACGACGACGUUGAUAGGCCGGGUGUGUAAGCGCAGCGAUGCGUUGAGCUAACCGGUACUAAUGAACCGUGAGGCUUAACC